This 682-nucleotide ribosomal RNA is filed under the name uncultured Alphaproteobacteria bacterium. RNAcentral describes it as "bacterial SSU rRNA". It matches the Rfam family "Bacterial small subunit ribosomal RNA", at positions 8 to 736 of the family's 1533-position model. Lineage: Bacteria; Pseudomonadati; Pseudomonadota; Alphaproteobacteria. The record is from RNAcentral.
AGAGUUUGAUCCUGGCUCAAAACGUACGCUGGCGGCACGCCUAACACAUGCAAGUCGAACGCAGUAGCGAUACUGAGUGGCAGACGGGUGAGUAACAUCUGGGAAUCUGCCUUGUGGUUCAGGACAACAUUGGGAGACCGAUGCUAAUACUGGAUAAGCCCUUACGGGGAAAGUUUUAAUGCCAUAAGAUGAGCCCGCAUCUGAUUAGUUAGUUGGUGAGGUAAUGGCUCACCAAGACAAUGAUCAAUAGCUGAUCUGAGAGGAUGAUCAGCCACACUGGGACUGAGACACGGCCCAGACUCCUACGGGAGGCAGCAGUGGGGAAUCUUGCACAAUGGAGGAAACUCUGAUGCAGCGAUGCCGCGUGAGUGAAGAAGGCCUUUGGGUUGUAAAGCUCUUUUGUAGGGGAAGAUAAUGACUGUACCCUAAGAAUAAGGUCCGGCUAACUUCGUGCCAGCAGCCGCGGUAAUACGAAGGGACCUAGUGUAGUUCGGAAUUACUGGGCGUAAAGCGCGCGUAGGCCGUUGGGUUAGUUAAUUGUGAAAUCCCAAAGCUUAACUUUGGAACUGCAAUUAAAACUGCUCGACUAGAGUUUGGUAGAGGAAAGCGGAAUACAUAGUGUAGAGGUGAAAUUCGUANAUAUUAUGUAGAACACCAGUUGCGAAGGCGGCUUUCUGGAUCA